GAGGGUAGAGCUCAGUGGUAGAGUGCAUUAUUAGCAUGCACAAGGUACUGGGUUCAAUCCCCAGUACCUCCA
RNAcentral lists this transfer RNA (72 nucleotides) under Camelus bactrianus (Bactrian camel). It matches the Rfam family "tRNA". Rfam says of the family: Transfer RNA (tRNA) molecules are approximately 80 nucleotides in length. Their secondary structure includes four short double-helical elements and three loops (D, anti-codon, and T loops). RNAcentral also lists the same sequence under 1 other name. Lineage: Eukaryota; Metazoa; Chordata; Mammalia; Artiodactyla; Camelidae. The record is from Rfam by way of RNAcentral.